AGAGUUUGAUUCUGGCUCAGAACGAACGCUGGCGGCAGGCUUAACACAUGCAAGUUGAGCGGGAUUAUGUUGGUAGCUUGCUACUGAUAUAUGAGAGCAGCGCACUGGUGAGUAACACGUGGGAACAUACCUUUUUGGUGGGGGACAACAGUUGGAAACGACUGCUAAUACCGCAUAAGCCCUGAGGGGGAAAGAUUUAUUGCCGAAAGAUUGGCCCGCGGAAGAUUAGGUAGUAGGUGGGGUAACGGCCUACCUAGCCAACGAUCUAUAGCUGGUCUGAGAGGACGAUCAGCCACAUUGGGACUGAGACACGGCCCAGACUCCUACGGGAGGCAGCAGUGAGGAAUAUUGGGCAAUGGAGGCAACUCUGAACCCCCAGCCAUGCCGCGUGAGUGAAGAAGGUUUUCGGAUUGUAAAGCUCUUUCGGACGUGAAGAUGAUGACGGUAGCGUCUAAAGAAGCCCCGGCUAACUUCGUGCCAGCAGCGGC
This 488-nucleotide ribosomal RNA is filed under the name uncultured bacterium. Its description in RNAcentral is "bacterial SSU rRNA". It matches the Rfam family "Bacterial small subunit ribosomal RNA", at positions 8 to 518 of the family's 1533-position model. The record is from RNAcentral.